This 253-nucleotide ribosomal RNA is filed under the name uncultured bacterium. Its description in RNAcentral is "partial 16S ribosomal RNA". It matches the Rfam family "Bacterial small subunit ribosomal RNA", at positions 524 to 776 of the family's 1533-position model. The record is from RNAcentral.
UACGGGGGGGGCAAGCGUUGUUCGGAAUUACUGGGCGUAAAGCGCGCGUAGGCGGCCCGGUAAGUCCGUUGUGAAAGUCAAAGGCUCAACCUUUGAACGCCGAUGGAUACUGCCGGGCUAGAGUCCGGAAGAGGCGAGUGGAAUUCCUGGUGUAGCGGUGGAAUGCGCAGAUAUCAGGAGGAACACCAAUAGCGAAGGCAGCUCGCUGGGACGGUACUGACGCUGAGGCGCGAAAGCGUGGGGAGCGAACAGG